CCUACGGGCGGCAGCAGUCGAGAAUCAUUCACAAUGGGGGAAACCCUGAUGGUGCGACGCCGCGUGGGGGAAUGAAGGUCUUCGGAUUGUAAACCCCUUUCAUGUGGGAGCAAAUUAAAAAGAUAGUACCACAAGAGGAAGAGACUGAUAACUCUGUUCCAGCAGCCGCGGUAAUACAGAGGUCUCAAGCGUUGUUCGGAAUCACUGGGCGUAAAGCGUGCGUAGGCUGAUACGUAGGUCGUGUGUGAAAGGCUCGGGCUAAACCCGCAGACGGCACAUGAUACUGCGAGACUAGAGUAAUGGAGGGGGAACCGGAAUUCUCGGUGUAGCAGUGAAAUGCGUAGAUAUCGAGAGGAACACUCGUGGCGAAGGCGGGUUCCUGGACAUUAACUGACGCUGAGGCACGAAGGCCAGGGGAGCGAAAGGGAUUAGAUACCCGAGUAGUC
Molecule: ribosomal RNA, 446 nt
Filed under: uncultured bacterium
Lineage: Bacteria
Description: partial 16S ribosomal RNA
Rfam family: Bacterial small subunit ribosomal RNA
Source: RNAcentral